Non-coding RNA from Microcebus murinus (gray mouse lemur), 951 nucleotides. The record is from RefSeq and is a predicted model, not a curated record. NCBI's taxonomy places the organism in Eukaryota, Metazoa, Chordata, Mammalia, Primates, Cheirogaleidae.
UCCUCGGAGAGAACCCUGCAGGAGUGGGGGGCCAGGGGAGGGGGCUGUGCUCCUGAUUCUGGGGUUCGGGAGGGCGAGUGUGAGGGCUUAGCUCGGAAUUCCAGCCUCCCCGCGCACCAGCCUGGAGUCCCUGAGGGACGCCAAGGAGGCCCCUCAUCCCUCCGCCCCCAGGCGGCCAUCUUGGGGAGGAAGUGGAGGCUGCCCCUCCGCCCGCCUCCUCCAGGCCCUCGCGAGGCCUGCGACAUCCUUACCAGGAGCUGUGAGGCUGCAAACAGGCACAGGCUGCUCCUGACGGAAAUAAAAAACAACCACCUCAAACCCAAUUAAAAAAGAAAAAGAAGAAGAAGAAGAAGAAAAAAGACACGGCAUAACCAGGACGUGACCCUGAACAACUGGCCCACGCCCGCCCUCCGGAUUUUUGUCUCUCGGGAUCUGUGCCCUGAGUGGGGCUGGAGGCUGGGCUCGUGACAAGGUCACAGCCACUGGUCUCCCCCACCAACCCCGAGACCCCCACACUGAGAGAACCACAUAAGGCCUGCAUAGUUGUCUGUCCAUGUGCUUGCCCACUCGCUCGACAAACAUUUACUGAGCAUCUCCCAUCUCCUACAUCUAUAGAGUGGCGCAGAGCCCAGGUCCUGGAGACACCGCAUAUGUAUCACAGGCUCCCCCUUCCCACCUGCUGUUGUCUAGGUUUCUCAGAAGAGGAAGAUGAGGUGCAGGGGGAUUAAGAGAGCUGCCCAAAGUCACCUAGCUGCUAAGUGGCGGAGAAGUUCCAUGAGGGCAGGAGUGGGAUCAGUUUCGCUCAUCACAAUUGUCUACAGCAUCUAGCACAGUCCUGGCAUGAAGAUGUGUGACAUUUAUCCCGUGGCUUUGCCCUCAGGGGUACAUGCACCCUAGUCUGAGAAGCAUGGAACUUGCCUGCAAUAAAACAUCACGCAGCUGUAUAAAUGA